This 652-nucleotide ribosomal RNA is filed under the name Escherichia coli. Its description in RNAcentral is "bacterial SSU rRNA". It matches the Rfam family "Bacterial small subunit ribosomal RNA", at positions 1 to 642 of the family's 1533-position model. Lineage: Bacteria; Pseudomonadati; Pseudomonadota; Gammaproteobacteria; Enterobacterales; Enterobacteriaceae. RNAcentral also lists the same sequence under 1 other name. The record is from RNAcentral.
AAAUUGAAGAGUUUGAUCAUGGCUCAGAUUGAACGCUGGCGGCAGGCCUAACACAUGCAAGUCGAACGGUAACAGGAAACAGCUUGCUGUUUCGCUGACGAGUGGCGGACGGGUGAGUAAUGUCUGGGAAACUGCCCGAUGGAGGGGGAUAACUACUGGAAACGGUAGCUAAUACCGCAUAACGUCGCAAGACCAAAGAGGGGGACCUUCGGGCCUCUUGCUAUCGGAUGUGCCCAGAUGGGAUUAGCUAGUAGGUGGGGUAACGGCUCACCUAGGCGACGAUCCCUAGCUGGUCUGAGAGGAUGACCAGCCACACUGGAACUGAGACACGGUCCAGACUCCUACGGGAGGCAGCAGUGGGGAAUAUUGCACAAUGGGCGCAAGCCUGAUGCAGCCAUGCCGCGUGUAUGAAGAAGGCCUUCGGGUUGUAAAGUACUUUCAGCGGGGAGGAAGGGAGUAAAGUUAAUACCUUUACUCAUUGACGUUACCCGCAGAAGAAGCACCGGCUAACUCCGUGCCAGCAGCCGCGGUAAUACGGAGGGUGCAAGCGUUAAUCGGAAUUACUGGGCGUAAAGCGCACGCAGGCGGUUUGUUAAGUCAGAUGUGAAAUCCCCGGGCUCAACCUGGGAACUGCAUCUGAUACUGGCAAGCU